GAUGAAGAACGCAGCGAACUGCGAUACGUGAUGUGAAUUGCAGAAUUUGUGAAUCAUCGAAACUUUGAACGCACAUUGCGCCUGUUGGUACUCCGUCAGGCACGUCUGUUUGAGCGUUGUUAAAAUCUCAGCGAAAGCUGGUUGUAGAGGAGGCAAGCACGCCCCUCUGAAAUAUCUCGGCAUUGUGCAACGGCGAAACGUGAAUCAAUUGCUGCAAUACCAAUUCUAUCUCUCAACCUCAAAUCAGACGAGAAUACCCGCUGAACUUAAGCAUAUCCAAUAAGCGGAGGA
This 291-nucleotide unclassified non-coding RNA is filed under the name soil metagenome. RNAcentral's name for it is "partial contains 5.8S ribosomal RNA, internal transcribed spacer 2, and large subunit ribosomal RNA". The stretch from base 1 to 119 matches the Rfam family "5.8S ribosomal RNA", at positions 35 to 154 of the family's 154-position model. The record is from RNAcentral.